GUUAUUGUGGCCACGCGCGGGCUGUAGGUUUAAACAGCUAUAAAAAUGAAUUACAGCCGAGAGCCUAAAAUAGCCAUUGCUUUGGCCGGGAAUCCCCAGUACCCUCCAAAUGCGUUACAGGGUUUUAUUUGUAUAUAGGCCUCGGCAAUUGAUCUCUUUGUUGGCAUUCUCAUUCAUGAAAGAAUUUGAUUUAUGACUUCGAGGGGAAUUUCGUCCAGA
RNAcentral lists this long non-coding RNA (219 nucleotides) under Paramormyrops kingsleyae. RNAcentral describes it as "HOX antisense intergenic RNA myeloid 1 conserved region 2 (ENSPKIG00000000331.1)". It matches the Rfam family "HOX antisense intergenic RNA myeloid 1 conserved region 2". The record is from RNAcentral. Lineage: Eukaryota; Metazoa; Chordata; Actinopteri; Osteoglossiformes; Mormyridae.